UCGCCUGUUUAUCAAAAACAUCGUUUCUUGAAAAUCUUUAAGAAAUUUAACCUGCCCCCUGAAUUUUUAAAGGGCCGCAGUAUUUUGACUGUGCAAAGGUAGCAUAAUCAUUAGUCUUUUAAUUGGAGGCUGGUAUGAAUGGUUGGACGAGGUAAAAUCUGUCUUAUAUUAAUUUAAAAUUGAAUUUAGAUUUUAAGUAAAAAGACUUAAAUAAUAUUAAGGGACGAGAAGACCCUAUAGAGUUUAAUAAAUGUAAUUAUUAAAUAAGUUUAGGAAGAAUUUUUAUUUAUUAUAAAGUUUAUUUAAUUGGGGUGAUUAGAAGAUAAAGUUAACUCUUCUUUAAAAUAAAUAUUUUAAUUAAUUUUAUGAUCCGCAUAAUGUGAUUGAAAGAUUAAAUUACCUUAGGGAUAACAGCAUAAUUUUUUUUGAGAGUUCAUAUCGAAAGAAAAGGUUGUGACCUCGAUGUUGGAUUAAGAUAAAUUUUGGGUGUAGAUGUUCAAAAAUUAAGUCUGUUCGACUUUAAAAAUCUUACAUGAUCUGAGUUCAAACCGGAGA
RNAcentral lists this ribosomal RNA (555 nucleotides) under Heterochaeta strachani (stick mantis). RNAcentral describes it as "partial 16S ribosomal RNA". It matches the Rfam family "Bacterial large subunit ribosomal RNA", at positions 1796 to 2622 of the family's 2925-position model. Lineage: Eukaryota; Metazoa; Arthropoda; Insecta; Mantodea; Mantidae. The record is from RNAcentral.